This is a long non-coding RNA of Leptinotarsa decemlineata (Colorado potato beetle), 1752 nucleotides long. Lineage: Eukaryota; Metazoa; Arthropoda; Insecta; Coleoptera; Chrysomelidae. The record is from RefSeq and is a predicted model, not a curated record.
GCAGAGCUAACCGCCGCAAACAACCCAAGAAGCUGCUAACUCCGGCCACCGACCAAAACGGUUCCCAAGUGAACUUCUACUAUGGCGCUCCGACCCCGUAUGCCGAGAGCAUAGCUCCCAGUCAUCACUCGACAUACGCGCAUUACUACGAUGACGAAGAAGACGGCUGGGAGAUGCCGAACUUCUAUAACGAAACCUACAUGAAGGAGAGCCUCCACAACGGCGCCAAUGGCAAGAUGAACAGCCUAGCCAGAUCGAAUGCCAGCAUAUACGGCACCAAAGACGAUUUGUACGAUAGGCUGAAACGACAUGCCUAUCCAGGCAAAAAAGAUAAAAGUGACAGUGAAAGUGAGGGUCAAUGAACUAAUCUGGUCAUUUCUGUUUAAUGCUCAAGUAGCAAACGAAUAUCUAGUGAAUAUUUUUUGUUAACAUUAAGUAUUAAGUACCAUAUAAAUGUUAAUUUAUGAUAGAUAAAAUGUGUGAGAUCGAAGGGGUAUAUGAUACUGAAGGGACAAAAAAAAAAGAAGAAUAAUGAGAGAAUACUGUUACUAUCUGGUCAUAUAGGAGAAUGAGGGCCUAUUCAAGUAUCAUAUACCCCGCCGUUAAUUUUUUCUCAUGGACUUCUGUGCAUACAUUCGAAAUGGACUUUUUCAGAUCCUGUGAGACUUCGAGUGUUUAUUUUUGUUAAGUAUCUAACUGUAUUAUGAACUGCCGUCCAAUGUAGAUACUCGUAUAUGAAGAUUAAUGGCUAAAUCAAAUAAACAAUUAUGAAAUGUUUGAACAUUUCGCUCAAAUAAAAUAAAUAUUUGAAUUUCAAUAUUUACCGGAAAUGCUCUUUGAUUUCAUAACAUGAAAUUCACGAUCUAACUGGUAAUAAUUUCAGAAGGGACAAUAUUGUACUUUAUCCAAAAAGUACAAAGUGAAAAAAGUUGAUUGAUCAUAAUAUUUCAUUUGAGAAUUUCAAUAUUUAUCAGCUAAUUAUAUAAUCAGGUGAGGCUCCUUAGUUUGAUGGAAUUCCAAGUUAACUUAAAUAUUUCAAGACACGAAAACCUAUUCGAUUCUGCAGUAUUGCAAGUUUCAACGAUAACCCCUUGUAUCUACUUUAAUUAUAUGUCCAGUUCUAGACUACAUUGUUCGUCCUCUUGACCGGAUUAUACAAAAGAUAUGUCAAGAGAAUGAAUGACAGUUUGUUAAUGUAUAUAUCUAUAUGAUUAGGUAUUCUUACUUUGUAUGUAGAAAUUUAUUGAUGAAAUACAUCGCCAUUAUAUUCUUUAUUUUCUUUUUCUACUAACAAGUUUUUUGACAAAUUCUUUCAAUUUAUGAAUUCAAUAAGUGAUUAUCAAUAUCUCAUGUUAAUUGUGAGAACAUUUUUUUCACUCUGAAACAAGAAUGAAAUCAUAUAGUUUAAAAACAAUAUUUACUCAGUAAUAAUAAUAUCAUGAACAGAAAUGUUAUAUUUUUGAAAACAAAAAAAUUCAUAUUUCUUGGAAAUCACUUGUUGACAUUCAAUAUAUCUCAAGGGAAACAAACCUUGCAAAUUUUUGUAUUUUUGUACAACAUGAAUAUUUAUAUACAAUGAACUAUUUAAUUUUUGUAAUAUUUAUAGAUAUAAUUUGUUAUAGUUUUGUAAUUAUUUUUAUAUUUUAUAUAGAAGAGUGACUGUUUUUAUGGUUGAAUGGAAAGGAAGAUGACAACGAAUGUAUAGUUUUUAUACUUUUUUAAGAAUGACUGAAAAUAAAUUUGAUUCAUAUA